UACGUAGGGUGCGAACGUUGUCCGGAUUUAUUGGGCGUAAAGAGCUCGUAGGCGGUUUGUCGCGUCGGCCGUGAAAUCUCCACGCUUAACGUGGAGCGUGCGGUCGAUACGGGCAGACUUGAGUUCGGUAGGGGAGACUGGAAUUCCUGGUGUAGCGGUGAAAUGCGCAGAUAUCAGGAGGAACACCGGUGGCGAAGGCGGGUCUCUGGGCCGAUACUGACGCUGAGGAGCGAAAGCGUGGGGAGCGAACAGG
Molecule: ribosomal RNA, 253 nt
Filed under: uncultured bacterium
Lineage: Bacteria
Description: partial 16S ribosomal RNA
Rfam family: Bacterial small subunit ribosomal RNA
Source: RNAcentral